AACGAACGCUGGCGGCAGGCUUAACACAUGCAAGUCGAACGCACCUUUCGGGGUGAGUGGCAGACGGGUGAGUAACGCGUGGGAAUCUACCCUUCUCUACGGGAUAGCUCCGGGAAACUGGAAUUAAUACCGUAUACGUCCUGAGGGAGAAAGAUUUAUCGGGGAAGGAUGAGCCCGCGUUGGAUUAGCUAGUUGGUGGGGUAAAGGCCUACCAAGGCGACGAUCCAUAGCUGGUCUAAGAGGAUGAUCAGCCACAUUGGGACUGAGACACGGCCCAAACUCCUACGGGAGGCAGCAGUGGGGAAUAUUGGACAAUGGGCGCAAGCCUGAUCCAGCCAUGCCGCGUGAGUGAUGAAGGUCCUAGGGUUGUAAAGCUCUUUCAGUGGGGACGAUAAUGACGGUACCCACAGAAGAAGCCCCGGCUAACUUCGUG
This 433-nucleotide ribosomal RNA is filed under the name uncultured bacterium. Its description in RNAcentral is "partial 16S ribosomal RNA". It matches the Rfam family "Bacterial small subunit ribosomal RNA", at positions 29 to 507 of the family's 1533-position model. The record is from RNAcentral.